RNAcentral lists this ribosomal RNA (613 nucleotides) under uncultured bacterium. RNAcentral's name for it is "bacterial SSU rRNA". It matches the Rfam family "Bacterial small subunit ribosomal RNA", at positions 338 to 947 of the family's 1533-position model. The record is from RNAcentral.
CCUACGGGAGGCAGCAGUGGGGAAUUUUGGACAAUGGGCGCAAGCCUGAUCCAGCCAUGCCGCGUGUGGGAAGAAGGCCUUCGGGUUGUAAACCACUUUUGUCAGGGAAGAAACGGUCUGAACUAAUACUUUGGACUAAUGACGGUACCUGAAGAAUAAGCACCGGCUAACUACGUGCCAGCAGCCGCGGUAAUACGUAGGGUGCAAGCGUUAAUCGGAAUUACUGGGCGUAAAGCGUGCGCAGGCGGCUUUGCAAGACAGAUGUGAAAUCCCCGGGCUCAACCUGGGAACUGCAUUUGUGACUGCAUGGCUAGAGUACGGUAGAGGGGGAUGGAAUUCCGCGUGUAGCAGUGAAAUGCGUAGAUAUGCGGAGGAACACCGAUGGCGAAGGCAAUCCCCUGGACCUGUACUGACGCUCAUGCACGAAAGCGUGGGGAGCAAACAGGAUUAGAUACCCUGGUAGUCCACGCCCUAAACGAUGUCAACUGGUUGUUGGGAGGGUUUCUUCUCAGUAACGAAGCUAACGCGUGAAGUUGACCGCCUGGGGAGUCGGCCGCAAGGUUGAACUUAAGGAAUUGACGGCUGNGAGNGCGAGACGACGACGAGGAGGAGG